GCUUGCUUAAUUAAGUUCCUCUCUCUCUCAAGUGUUAAUUGUGUGCUUGGUGGAGGCCACGGCUUGAGCUCGGAUCGACGUUGACGUUGCGCCGGAAAGCCGUUCGAGCGUAUGGACGUCGCGGUUGCGUCGUUGGAGGCCGGGCGAGCGCGUGAUUUCCUCUCCUUUCGACUUCUCGCCGUGGUUGGAUUAGCGUUUCGAGAUGGAUUGAAGUUUACCGAAAUCGCCGGAACAUCUCCUAAGUUUUUAUAUCGUCAACAUAUAUCAUGUGUUUAAUUUCUUGCUAGUAUUCAAAUUCAUGUAUUAGGCUUAAAAUCUGAAUUUGGAGUUAAGUAGUAGUAGUAUAAUUUUAUAUGUUGGACUUGAAAUUGACUUAGGAGAAAACUGUAGAUCCUACACUGUCAGUUUCUGAAAACUAUUAGAUUUAGUUUUAGAAGCUGUGGUUUAUUUGUAUUGCCGCAGUUUGUAUGCGGUAGAUACCUAGAUUAGUGUAGGAUCAGUUUACGCUCGUGUUGGGAUGUCGAGUUUAUUUUACAGUAGCGUGUAGACUGUUUCGGGUUGUCGGGUGCCAUCGCAGUUGACGGUGGAUCCAGAUUUCUGUAUUUGCAUCAGAUUGUGCCAAGGGCAAGUGAGCUUUGGUUGUUAGACCCAUAUGCUUUGAUUACAGCCUGUGAGAGCCUGAUUGAGCUCGGCAGAGACACGCUUGUAUACUCGGUUGGGUAGCACAGACGAGUGCCACUCCGGAGUUGGGUUUUGUGUUUUUGCGUUGUUUCGCAGCAGUCCUAUUUGGACAGUGCUUUAGGACCGGCCACCUCAAUGGUGGUGUGCGGUAUAGCUCGGACGCAGGCGGGACGGGCCUGUUGGCAGUCCCGUGAUAGUAUAGUCGUUGUUGUAGCAGAUGCAUAUCUACAGAUAGCUAGAGUUGGCUAGUGAUAGUAUAGGGACAUAUAGCUGUAGGGUUUCCAGCUUUCUUUACUAUCUCUUGCAUACGAUUCUGUAAACUUAGUGGGUGAGCCGUUGAGGUCGGUAAAGGUACCCACUGAGGACUAUUUCUUUUUGCAGUAGUUCUCACACCCCGUUGUUGAUCCCUUUUUGCAGAGCUUUUUUCUGCGGCUGCUGCUGUCGCUGAUACUGAUCGUGGAAAGGGAGUCGCGAGUUAGAUCCCUUCCCUGGUUGCAGUUCUAGAGAAGUACAAACUACAGGUAGUUUUGGAUUUUUGGUUCAUGUACAUACUUUUGCUGGUACUCACUGGGGCGAGUGAUGUUUGUAUCUUGGAGACUUUGUAUGUAUAGUGAACCUGAUAUUUAUUUAUAUUCAGUUCUGUUAGCAGCCCUAUACUACUGGUUGUAGUUUUGUAUAAUUACAGGUAUAGCUAUCGCUUCGUAUACAUAAAAAAUUCUUUUGUAUACGGCGGGUCUGUUAGCGUGCCCAGAAAAACGCGGUAAUCCGGGUCGUGAUAGUUAUAUUACGGUUUAAACCUCUUUUUAUUUAAAUUUUUGUUUACAAUUCCCAGACAAUGUAGUGCACCUGGUUCAAGCAAAAGAUUUUUCUUAAAAUUUUAAAUUAAAUUUAAAUUUAAAUUUAAAUUUUAAAUUUUCAAUUGUAAACUCUUUUAUCUUCCAUAAUAUUUCUUACAAUCUAAGGCCCAGUUUCCAAGUUGUUCAUAAUAUUGAAACUGUGACACCCAAAAUUUGGAAUAGAUAUAUAUAAAGUAUAAUAGGACUAAAAUCUUCUAAUCGGAGUAUAUCAUUUUGGGUGGUAGCUAGGCUUUGGAGGUUAACGGGGUUAAGAGUGCUGGGGCUAAAAUGGCGGAGCGUUAUAGUUGGUAUUAGAGCUAAUUAAUCACCGGCCGAAAGCAUGAAUAAGUCUCGACUGAUUCAGG
RNAcentral lists this long non-coding RNA (1882 nucleotides) under Ananas comosus (pineapple). RNAcentral describes it as "long non-coding RNA (ACOM_LNC009337)". Lineage: Eukaryota; Viridiplantae; Streptophyta; Magnoliopsida; Poales; Bromeliaceae. The record is from RNAcentral.